UACGGAGGAGGCGAGCGUUGUUCGGAAUCACUGGGCUUAAAGCGCGUGUAGGUGGCUCGGUAAGUAUCUUGUGAAAUCCCCCGGCUUAACCGAGGAAUCGCAAGGUAUACUGCCAGGCUUGAGGCGGAUAGGGGUGCCUGGAACUCUAGGUGGAGCGGUGAAAUGCGUAGAUAUCUAGAGGAACGCCCGUGGCGAAAGCGGGGCACUGGGUCCGAUCUGACACUGAGACGCGAAAGCGUAGGGAGCAAACGGG
Molecule: ribosomal RNA, 253 nt
Filed under: uncultured bacterium
Lineage: Bacteria
Description: partial 16S ribosomal RNA
Rfam family: Bacterial small subunit ribosomal RNA
Source: RNAcentral